RNAcentral lists this long non-coding RNA (3900 nucleotides) under Oryctolagus cuniculus (rabbit). Its description in RNAcentral is "lncRNA (ENSOCUG00000033457.1)". The record is from RNAcentral. Lineage: Eukaryota; Metazoa; Chordata; Mammalia; Lagomorpha; Leporidae.
GACCUUCCGUGGCUCCCUAGUACCCACAGAAGUGCCCUGGCUCCUUACUCUGCCCCUUAUUCAAACAUGAGAAAUGCGGGUGAUGAUACUGACAGCUUACUGGAACCGAACGCCUGCCAUGUUUACACACUGGCUGGUUAACUUAUGUAAUCCCCGUGAGCACUCCGGAAAUAUUAUUCUUAUACACACACUGACACAGGAAGCUGGAGCCACUGUCUCAGUCUAGGCAGGAAACAGCACAAAGCUGUGGGCUGGGUGUAGCAGCUGCCACCUGGAGAGCUGGUACCAGCCCUAGGCUGAAGAUAAAGGACAGGGUGGUGUCCGGACCUGGCCAGAGCAGGGUCCAUUUGGUAAGGCCCAUGGGAGGUACAGCCAACCCACAGUGGCCAGCAGGAAAGCAGCUGGAAGAUCAAAUGGCCCCCCUCCCCCUCCCGCCUGCUGGGGUCUCCCGGCAGGAACCCCGAGUGAGGCUGCACAGGUCGGCCUCGCGUGCCAUGGAAGGAGGUGGCUGUGGAGGCACACACCGGGGACGUCUGGGAGUGACCUGGCCGCCGUCACAGAGCUGGCCACGGCCCCGCAGCCAUCCUGUCUCCUCCGAUCCUGAUGGUGAUGCUGACGACGAUGGCUUUGUCUCCUCACCCCAGAGUUUCCUUCUGACACGAGGACCGGCCCCAGGGGGCCAGCAGGAGCCCAGCGCCCCCCUCCUGGGCCUGAGUGAGCCCCUGGGCCUGGGACCCUCGCUGCUCUCUCUCUACCCGGAGGACGCUGCCGCCGCCGCCCAGCCUGCGAGCCCCUUCCAGCCAGUGGCCAGCUCGGCCCGCGCCCACUGAGCCAGCUCCGCGUCCCGCCCCCCUUCUCCUCCCGCCCCCGGGAGAACCUCAGCCACACUCCAAGCCGGCAGCCAGCACACAGGAUGGGGACCCCCUCCUGAGCGGCCCCCGCCAGCCCUGGGCCUACCUCAGCCCCCACCCCUCUGUGUGCUCCCAAGCUGGGGGGCCGAGUGGGGUGAUCUCAGCUCAGUGACCUCUGUGGGAGGGGGUGCUCGGCCCCCUCCUCCUCUCUCAGGACUUCCCGAUCCGUGAUUACCUCACCACCCUCCCUCCGACUCUUGGAUUCAUUUUGGGGAUGCAGGGCUGGGGAGGGCUGGGGGUCAGAUCCGUGAUUUGAGUACGGAUAACUGAAAUCACAUUUUUUUCCCUGUCCCUCUUUUAGUUUUGUUCUUCUUCUCUUUCUGAUGUGGUCUUGAAUCACUAGGAAUUGCCCAAGGUCCACAAGCAAGUGGCGCUCUGACCUUCCCCCUCCUCAGGUAUCAGUGGGGGAAGGCACUGGGCCAGACCUCACCCCCAGAGACUGCUGUUGAGGCCUCGGCCUUCCACGCUGGCCCCCCACCCCCCCAGCUCUGCCUGGCCCCCCACUCAGGAGUCCCUGCUACCCCCAGCUUCACCAGGGCAGUGACUCCACUGUGGUCUUCCUAUUCCUGGGGUCGCCUCCACCCUCCUCUGGUUCCAGACCGUGCAACCUGACCACUGGUUCUAGGCUGCACAACGUUCUGCCUUCUCCUGGUUCCAGACCGCACAAUCCACAGCACGGCCUGGUCCAGACCUCACAGCCUUUCCCAUCCUGGGCCGCACACCCUCCGCACUCUGGAUCUACAGCCUGUGACCACCCAUGCCCCCGGCUCUAGAACUCACUCUAGAACUCUGGUUUCCUCUUGCUCUGGAUUUCUCCUCGUAAAUCCCUCUGGUCCUCAGUGUCACACCCUCUAACCUCUUUUGGUCCCAGAUCUUACAACUAAUGACUUCCUCUGGUUCUGGACCGCACAACUCCAGGCUUCUCGUUGGUUCUAAUCUUCCUAGACUGUGAUGCGUGUGGUUCCAAAUCCAGACCUCCUAACUUUGAGUCGUCUUGGUUCCAAACAUCGCGAUGCCCAGUUGCUUCUUCCUUUCUACAUCAAGACUUUCUUCCCUACCACAAUGAAGUGGACUGAGCUUUAGGUCUUGGCCCUCCUGACCCAUUCUUCCAGAACCAGACCACACCCCAGUUCUGUUCAGUUCUGGACCCUCAAUCCCACACCUCAUGAGCUGCCACUUGCCUGGUUCUAGACCCCAGCUGCUAACGCCUUCUGAUUCUAGACCCACGCUUUAAGUCCCUUCAGUUCCAGUCCUCACAGUGUCCACCUCCCCUCACUCCAGACCCACGCUAGGUCUAGAACCAGCCUUCCAUCGUCUGAUCAAGGACCUUGCCUCACCCGUUUCUCUGCCUCUAGAGCUUACAACCCCAGACUCCUUCUGUUCUAGACUGGAUAAGUCCCAAUCCCUGUGGCUCCAGAACUUGGUCUGGGGGCUUCUUUCUAGCUCUGGUCCCUACUCUCUAAACUUCUCUGCCUCGCAGCCUGCAGCUGCCUCUGGUUUCAAACUUCACGUCCUGUGGUACUAGAACCCAGCUCCCCAGUGCUUCUGGUCCUAGAGUCUGGACUUCACCCUGGACACGGCUGUGGGUCUGACUCUUUGAACCCCUGCCUUCCGCAUCCCAGACCCCACCCUCCUGACUCCACUCUGGGCUUCUCACUCUGCUGACCUUGCCCCAAUUCCUACUCACGAGUCUUGUCUUCCCUUUCUGGACCCCCACCCUCCAGGGCCUCUGCCCAGGAGCUUCUCUGACGUCAAAUCCCUCACGUUGCCCUGGGAUGCCUUUGACUCUCAACCCCAGCCCUCCCCACACGCGCGCGCCUGGUUUAACCCAGAUGUCUGGAAGAACAGGGGCUUCCUUGCCGCCUUGGGUGGGGCUCAGAGUCCAGGAGAGGAGACGUCUCCGGCCACACAGGCACUCCGGCCACACAGGCACGUGCACAGCCCUUUCUGCAUGUCACGGGUAGGGAGAGGCCAGGACCACCCACCUCUCUGUCCCCUGACCCCCAGCCCCCUUCUCUGACGGUGCUGCUCUUGGCUUCCCACAGGAAACGCCUCCUCCCAGCUCUGUUCACCCCUUUUGUGGAAGGCACCACUCAGUCUGUUCACUUUUAGGGGGUGGCCUGUCCAGAUUGGUGCUAAGUGGGGGUAGAGGGUCUGACUCCCCCCACUUUGUUGGGUGACUCAGGCCCCUGAUGGAGGGAACUGUGCUGAGUUAGGGAGGGGGAGGGACUGGAUCCACAAAAAAAUCUCUGAACCCACAGACCUCUAGACCACCAUAAAGACCUUGCCUUGGUGGGCACCAGAACCCUGUGUGCUGACUCUUUCGUGGGGUUGCAUCCGGGGUGUGUGGCUGCACUGGGUGCCCAUGUUGUUUCUGACUGUGUGUGUGGUGACGUCAUUGUGUGACUGUGUGUGGGUCUCUGUGACGUAACUGUAAACCUGUGUUGGUGAAGGCUGUCAUUCCCUCUCGCUGUGUGUGGAUGAAACUGUCCUUCCUGCUGUGUGUUUCUGGUUAGUCGUGUGGCUCUCUGUGCUCCUGAGUAUGGGAGGCGUGGUGUCUUCUCUCCCUGUAACCUUGUAGCUGGCUGUGAUGUGGUUCUGGGUAUCAGUGGGAUUGUCUGACGCUGCAGUCCCAGUUAUGGCUGUGUAUCUGUGUGAAGCAACUCUGUACUUUAGGGUGUGCGUGGGGGCCGGUGCUGUGGUGCAGCUGGUUAAGCCGCCCACGUGGGCGCCGGCUGGAGUCCCGGCUGCUCCCCUUCCGAUCCAGCUCCCUGCUGCGGCGCCUGGGAAGGCAGCGGAGAACGGCCCAGCUCCUUGGGGCCCUGCACCUACAUGGGAGCCCAGAGGAAGCUCCUGGCUCCUGGCUUCAGUCUGGCCCAGCUCUGGCCAUUGUGGCCAUUUGGGGAGUGAACCAGCAGAUAGAAGACCUCUGUCUCUGUAACUCCUCUUUGCAAAUAAAUCUUAAAAAAAAAAAAAAAAAAAAAGAGGU